Molecule: ribosomal RNA, 492 nt
Filed under: uncultured bacterium
Lineage: Bacteria
Description: partial 16S ribosomal RNA
Rfam family: Bacterial small subunit ribosomal RNA
Source: RNAcentral
AGUGAACGCUGGCGGUAGGCCUAACACAUGCAAGUCGAACGGCAGUACAGUAAGGGCUUGCUCUUACGGGUGGCGAGUGGCGGACGGGUGAGGAAUACAUCGGAAUCUACUUUUUCGUGGGGGAUAACGUAGGGAAACUUACGCUAAUACCGCAUACGACCUACGGGUGAAAGCAGGGGAUCUUCGGACCUUGCGCGAUUGAAUGAGCCGAUGUCGGAUUAGCUAGUUGGCGGGGUAAAGGCCCACCAAGGCGACGAUCCGUAGCUGGUCUGAGAGGAUGAUCAGCCACACUGGAACUGAGACACGGUCCAGACUCCUACGGGAGGCAGCAGUGGGGAAUAUUGGACAAAGGGCGCAAGCCUGAUCCAGCCAUACCGCGUGGGUGAAGAAGGCCUUCGGGUUGUAAAGCCCUUUUGUUGGGAAAGAAAAGCAGCAGGUUAAUACCCCGCUGUUCUGACGGUACCCAAAGAAUAAGCACCGGCUAACUUCGUG